UCUUCCAAGUUGAUUUUUCGCGAUUAGACAUCAAUGACUCAAUGGUUGAACAGUUUUCCCUAACGAUUGUCAAAACCUAUUUAUAUGAUCGUUACUUAAAUUAUUGCAUUUAGAAGUUGGUGUUUCAAUAUUGGCAGCACUUAAUGCGUAUUCUACCAUAUUGUAUCCACAAGUAGUCGGCCAUUUUGCUAAAUCCAUCUUUUCAUCAUAAUUCAACAUGAAGAUCGGUCUUUGCGCAUAUAGUGGAUAUAAAAUAUAUCCCGGCCAUGGUAAAACCAUGGUAAAAGUGGAUGGAAAAACGUUCACAUUUUUAAAUUCAAAAUGUGAAUCUGCACAUUUAAUGAGACGUAAUCCAAGAAAAGUUACAUGGACUGUAUUAUACAGACGGAAGCACAAAAAGGGACAAGAAGAAGAACAAGCGAAAAAAAGGACAAGGCGUACUCAAAAAUUCCAACGUGCGAUUGUAGGUGCAUCUCUUACAGAUAUUUUAGCGAAACGUAAUAUGAAACCAGAAAUUCGUAAAGCACAGAGAGAACAAGCAAUUAAAUUUCAGAUUGUCUUAGAAUAAAUGAAUUGCUUCACCCAGAAUUGUAAUAUACUUCACACUGUCUGGCUUUUGCGGGUUCAUACAAUUCUUAUACUAGAGCUGCAAAAGAACAAAAGAAAGCUGCAAAAGCAACAAAGAAAGCAGUUGUACCUGCUAAGGCAAAAGUACAACCAAAACAUAAAGCUGCAAAGAUAACACAAAAAGCAGCUCCCCGUGUCGGAGGAAAACGUUAAAUUUCCGCACUAUAUAAAUAAAAAGACCUUUAGAUUUAAAAAA
This is an RNA transcript of Bombus huntii, 823 nucleotides long. It is a transcript of the gene named 60S ribosomal protein L24, with no coding region annotated. NCBI's taxonomy places the organism in Eukaryota, Metazoa, Arthropoda, Insecta, Hymenoptera, Apidae. The transcript has 6 exons. The record is from RefSeq and is a predicted model, not a curated record.